CCAAAAUCAGACCGGAAGGGCCGAACCGGUUGAACCGGGGCCCAAACCGGACCCAUGGGUUCAACCGGGCCCCUAACAUAAAUGAAGCAGCAGCUUCAUCUUCUCCAUUUCACCACAGCAACGAAAAACACAGCAAGGGGGAGAAGAGAAGAAACCUAACCCUCACCAUUCCUUCCAACUACCAUAACUUCCUCAUCCGGGCUCCGAUUGCCGCACCGUUCGCGGCCACGCGCUCAGCGCGUCGAGCUCUACCUUUCUAUCCAAACAAUUUCUCUGGUUCAAGUUAGCUUCCGGAACUUUUGGGCUCAAGCUAUUGAGCAUAUGGGUAUGGUAAGAACACCCUAACCCUAGCUCAAUCUUGUUUUUGGUAAUAGAGAACUGAAUUGGAACAUAUAUAUGUGUAUUAGGUGUAGUUUAAGAGGGUGUUUAUGCAUUGAACUUGAAUUUGGAUUACUUGGAACUUUGUUGGUGACAAGGCUUGCUUUGGGGCUAUUUGAUUGAGCUUCGAGGGGCUGUGAUUUUAUGUUGAGAAGCUGCCUUGGGUGAAUUAAGUGAUCGGCCAAGAUGCAGGUCGAGAGGCUCCUCGCUAGACGUCUGGAUCUUGGGAAGCGAAGUAGUCCUUGGGUGUAUUUUGGUUUUUGGUUGUAUAUAUGUAUAUAUUUGUUUAGCUUACUCUCCAAGUAACUUGUGUAUGCUGCUCCUCUUAGAGGAUUAGGGAGAGAUAGGAGUUUACUUUGAUGUUUUGGUGUAUUUUGGGGAUACUUAAGUAUGUUUAUAUGUAUAUAUAUAUAUCCUCCGGCCAGCCUUAGCUUCGCAGGCUGAGUCAGGGGCUAGUUAUGCUGUUACCUUGGCUUUCCUUUAUCCUUCUGCUUAUCUUUAUCAUGUUCCUAUUAGGUC
Molecule: non-coding RNA, 897 nt
Organism: Arachis ipaensis
Lineage: Eukaryota; Viridiplantae; Streptophyta; Magnoliopsida; Fabales; Fabaceae
Source: RefSeq, a predicted model, not a curated record